Molecule: non-coding RNA, 594 nt
Organism: Taeniopygia guttata (zebra finch)
Lineage: Eukaryota; Metazoa; Chordata; Aves; Passeriformes; Estrildidae
Source: RefSeq, a predicted model, not a curated record
UAAACACUAGUAAGCAAAGCAAGGAAAGCCUCAAACAAACCUAGACAAAGAAGGAUGCCCAGGAAAUGACAGUAAGGCAGCCACAACUUCAAAGCUCGUUUUUAGCCCAUGGCCUUUCCCAUUGACCACCACUAAUUCAGCCACCACCUCCUCUUCAGAGGGCAGGCUGAGCAGCCUCUUGAUUGCCUGGUUUGAUGCAACAUGCCAGUGAGUGCCACUGCCUGAAAGAAGGACAUUAGCAGUGUUGGCUGAGGUCAGACACUGCUGUUCCCAGAGAAGAAUGUGCCUAAAACAAAAAAGCUGGUCACUUGGGAAGAACUGCCUUUUGUAGUAGCUGACAGGUACAUGGUUUCUGUUAUCCAUACAUGCAAAUCAGGGGCUGGAGCUGCUUUUACCAUAGUUGCUGGUGUGGGUUUAUUCACUAUCACUUAUACAAUGUCCUCUACUGCUUCUCUUUUCUUUAAGUCAUGGAGCCCAUCUGUGUCCCAAGGCUCAAGCUCCAUCAUCUUUUGCCCCAUGAAGAAGGACAGCUGUAUCAUUCUGACUUUGUGAAUCCUAUAUUACAAAUGAGCAGCAUAAAGAGUAUAAAACUCA